GUGCUCACUUUGGCAGCACAUAUACUAAAAUUGGAAUGAUGCAGAGAAGAUUAGCAUAGCCCCUAUGCAAGGAUGACAUGGAAAUUCAGGAAACAUUCCAUAUUUUU
RNAcentral lists this small nuclear RNA (107 nucleotides) under Jaculus jaculus (lesser Egyptian jerboa). Lineage: Eukaryota; Metazoa; Chordata; Mammalia; Rodentia; Dipodidae. The record is from RNAcentral.